GACAGAGGGGGCAAGCGUUGUCCGGAAUUACUGGGCGUAAAGCGCACGCAGGCGGCCCGGCAAGUGGUGUGUGACAGCGAACGGCUUAACCGUCCGAGGCCAUGCCAGACUGCCGAGCUUGAGCCGUGCAGAGGCCAGUGGAAUUGCCGGUGUAGGAGUGACAUCCGUAGAGACCGGCAGGAACACCGAUGGGGAAGCCAGCUGGCUGGGCACGAGCUGACGCUCAGGUGCGAUAGCGUGGGGAGCAAACCGG
RNAcentral lists this ribosomal RNA (253 nucleotides) under uncultured bacterium. RNAcentral describes it as "partial 16S ribosomal RNA". It matches the Rfam family "Bacterial small subunit ribosomal RNA", at positions 524 to 776 of the family's 1533-position model. The record is from RNAcentral.